Long non-coding RNA from Pogoniulus pusillus (Red-fronted tinkerbird), 250 nucleotides. RefSeq lists it as uncharacterized. The record is from RefSeq and is a predicted model, not a curated record. Lineage: Eukaryota; Metazoa; Chordata; Aves; Piciformes; Lybiidae. The transcript is spliced from 3 exons.
UACAUAUCAAGAUCCUUCAGCAUUUUGCUGCUGUUUAUGGAUUAGUUGUCUGUUUUGUGAGUGAAGUGCACAGUCCCUGGAGAGAACAGAAGUAAUGAUCUUUGUACAAUAUGUUUCACUGGAAACUUGAGGAAGAAGGAGCAACCACCAAAAAAGAGAUGCUGUUUUGUGGAAGAUGGAUGCACAAGGAGAGCAGGAUUGUGCAUUGGAGUUCCCUGAAUGGAUCUCUGAAUUUCUAAGUCUUCCCUGA